Molecule: ribosomal RNA, 490 nt
Filed under: uncultured bacterium
Lineage: Bacteria
Description: partial 16S ribosomal RNA
Rfam family: Bacterial small subunit ribosomal RNA
Source: RNAcentral
AUUGAACGCUGGCGGCAGGCCUAACACAUGCAAGUCGAACGGUAACAGGAAGCAGCUUGCUGCUUUGCUGACGAGUGGCGGUCGGGUGAGUAAUGUCUGGGAAACUGCCCGAUGGAGGGGGAUAACUACUGGAAACGGUAGCUAAUACCGCAUAACGUCGCAAGACCAAAGAGGGGGACCUUAGGGCCUCUUGCCAUCGGAUGUGCCCAGAUGGGAUUAGCUAGUAGGUGGGGUAACGGCUCACCUAGGCGACGAUCCCUAGCUGGUCUGAGAGGAUGACCAGCCACACUGGAACUGAGACACGGUCCAGACUCCUACGGGAGGCAGCAGUGGGGAAUAUUGCACAAUGGGCGCAAGCCUGAUGCAGCCAUGCCGCGUGUAUGAAGAAGGCCUUCGGGUUGUAAAGUACUUUCAGCGGGGAGGAAGGGAGUAAAGUUAAUACCUUUGCUCAUUGACGUUACCCGCAGAAGAAGCACCGGCUAACUCCGUG